Molecule: long non-coding RNA, 266 nt
Filed under: Citrus maxima (pomelo)
Lineage: Eukaryota; Viridiplantae; Streptophyta; Magnoliopsida; Sapindales; Rutaceae
Description: long non-coding RNA (CMAX_LNC000748)
Source: RNAcentral
GAGUACAUGUUAUGAUCGAUCUUUUUCCACCCCGCCCUUUUUUUUUCAACUUUUUUACAUAAGAAACGCAAAUCCUUUUUCCUUCAGUCAUUCACAAUCAUUCAUGGCUAGUGGCGGUGGUGCACGCACUCGGUGGGAAUAGCUGGGAACCUAGACGUGUCAGUGCAAUAGUCAUAGAUGAGGUGAUUGGCUCUAACCCACAUGAGCUGGUGGCUUUGGUGCACAUUGAGCUCAGACAAUGUUGGCUCAUCCCACCAGAACCUUUU